Long non-coding RNA from Eriocheir sinensis (Chinese mitten crab), 374 nucleotides. RefSeq lists it as uncharacterized. The record is from RefSeq and is a predicted model, not a curated record. The transcript has 3 exons. Lineage: Eukaryota; Metazoa; Arthropoda; Malacostraca; Decapoda; Varunidae.
AAAAAUAAAUAAAUAAAUAAAUAAAUAAAUAAAUAAAUAAAUAAAUCCCAUUACAAAUUUGUUCACAAUCAUAUAUUAUUAGUCUACUGCUGGUUUUCCAUAUGACAUUGUACUCUGUCCUGUAUUGUUAAAGGUUCUAAUUUAAUCUCUACAGCUGGUUUAGAGGUAUUAUUAAAGGUUCUAAUUUAAUCUUUACAGCUGGUUUAGAGGUAUUAUUAAAGGUUCUAAUUUAAUCUUUACAGCUGGUUUAGAGGUAUUAUUAAAGGUUCUAAUUUAAUCUUUACAGCUGGUUUAGAGGUAUUAUUAAAGGUUCUAAUCUAAUCUCUCCAGCUGGUUUAGAGGUAUUAUUAAAGGUUCUAAUUUAAUCUCUACAG